Molecule: ribosomal RNA, 305 nt
Filed under: uncultured bacterium
Lineage: Bacteria
Description: bacterial SSU rRNA
Rfam family: Bacterial small subunit ribosomal RNA
Source: RNAcentral
UUGCCUACGGGAGGCAGCAGUGAGGAAUAUUGGUCAAUGGGCGCGAGCCUGAACCAGCCAAGUCGCGUGAGGGAAGACGGUCCUAUGGAUUGUAAACCUCUUUUGUCGGGGAGCAAAAGACGCCACGCGUGGCGUUCCGAGAGUACCCGAAGAAAAAGCAUCGGCUAACUCCGUGCCAGCAGCCGCGGUAAUACGGAGGAUGCGAGCGUUAUCCGGAUUUAUUGGGUUUAAAGGGUGCGUAGGCGGGCUUUUAAGUCAGCGGUAAAAAUUCGGGGCUCAACCCCGUCCGGCCGUUGAAACUGGGG